UUUUUAAAAAUCCGAACCCGAACCCGAAAACCAAAUUAAAACCUGUAUCCGGACCCAAACCCGACGGGUUUUAAAAAUCCAUACCCAUAUCCAUACCCGACAAAAAAUUCGAAAUCCGAACCCGAAUCCGAAUCCGGCAGGUUUUAAAAAUUCAUGCCGUUGAAUGAAGAUCUAAAGCAUAAAAAUUAUUAAAUAUUUUAUAUAUUAUAUAAAUAAAUAUAAUUUAUUCGGGUUCGGGUUUCGGGUCGGAUAAAUACAAAAUCCAUACUCGUAUCCAUGUCCGUCGGAUUUUUAUUUUCCAUACCCAUAACCGAAUCCAUACCCGUUUAGUUCGGAUAAAUCCGCCCGUUCGGGUUCGGUUCGGAUAAUAUUUUGGAUAUUCAUAUCCAUCGACAUUCCUUAUACAGAGUUAAUUUCACC
This 420-nucleotide long non-coding RNA is filed under the name Ananas comosus (pineapple). Its description in RNAcentral is "long non-coding RNA (ACOM_LNC014471)". The record is from RNAcentral. Lineage: Eukaryota; Viridiplantae; Streptophyta; Magnoliopsida; Poales; Bromeliaceae.